Non-coding RNA from Caenorhabditis elegans, 103 nucleotides. NCBI's taxonomy places the organism in Eukaryota, Metazoa, Nematoda, Chromadorea, Rhabditida, Rhabditidae. The record is from Ensembl.
UCAGUUGUUUUUUUAUUUUCUCUUUUCUCCCAUCACUUUCUCCCUUCUUCCCCUCUCCUAAUUUCCAUUCCCAACUAUUAUUCUCGGAUCAGAUCGAGCCAUU